RNAcentral lists this ribosomal RNA (2922 nucleotides) under Klebsiella pneumoniae. Its description in RNAcentral is "bacterial LSU rRNA". It matches the Rfam family "Bacterial large subunit ribosomal RNA". The record is from RNAcentral. Lineage: Bacteria; Pseudomonadati; Pseudomonadota; Gammaproteobacteria; Enterobacterales; Enterobacteriaceae.
GGGUUGUGAGGUUAAGCGACUAAGCGUACACGGUGGAUGCCCUGGCAGUCAGAGGCGAUGAAGGACGUGCUAAUCUGCGAAAAGCGUCGGUAAGGUGAUAUGAACCGUUACAGCCGGCGAUGUCCGAAUGGGGAAACCCAGUGCAAUUCGUUGCACUAUCGUUAACUGAAUACAUAGGUUAACGAGGCGAACCGGGGGAACUGAAACAUCUAAGUACCCCGAGGAAAAGAAAUCAACCGAGAUUCCCCCAGUAGCGGCGAGCGAACGGGGAGCAGCCCAGAGUCUGAAUCAGCUUUGUGUGUUAGUGGAACGGUCUGGAAAGUCCGACGGUACAGGGUGAUAGUCCCGUACACCAAAAUGCACAGGCUGUGAACUCGAAGAGUAGGGCGGGACACGUGGUAUCCUGUCUGAAUAUGGGGGGACCAUCCUCCAAGGCUAAAUACUCCUGACUGACCGAUAGUGAACCAGUACCGUGAGGGAAAGGCGAAAAGAACCCCGGCGAGGGGAGUGAAAAAGAACCUGAAACCGUGUACGUACAAGCAGUGGGAGCACCUUCGGGUGUGACUGCGUACCUUUUGUAUAAUGGGUCAGCGACUUAUAUUCUGUAGCAAGGUUAACCGUAUAGGGGAGCCGCAGGGAAACCGAGUCUUAACUGGGCGUUAAGUUGCAGGGUAUAGACCCGAAACCCGGUGAUCUAGCCAUGGGCAGGUUGAAGGUUGGGUAACACUAACUGGAGGACCGAACCGACUAAUGUUGAAAAAUUAGCGGAUGACUUGUGGCUGGGGGUGAAAGGCCAAUCAAACCGGGAGAUAGCUGGUUCUCCCCGAAAGCUAUUUAGGUAGCGCCUCGUGAAUUCAUCUUCGGGGGUAGAGCACUGUUUCGGCUAGGGGGUCAUCCCGACUUACCAACCCGAUGCAAACUACGAAUACCGAAGAAUGUUAUCACGGGAGACACACGGCGGGUGCUAACGUCCGUCGUGAAGAGGGAAACAACCCAGACCGCCAGCUAAGGUCCCAAAGUCAUGGUUAAGUGGGAAACGAUGUGGGAAGGCACAGACAGCCAGGAUGUUGGCUUAGAAGCAGCCAUCAUUUAAAGAAAGCGUAAUAGCUCACUGGUCGAGUCGGCCUGCGCGGAAGAUGUAACGGGGCUAAACCAUGCACCGAAGCUGCGGCAGCGACACUAUGUGUUGUUGGGUAGGGGAGCGUUCUGUAAGCCUGCGAAGGUACUGUGAGGGUUGCUGGAGGUAUCAGAAGUGCGAAUGCUGACAUAAGUAACGAUAAAGCGGGUGAAAAGCCCGCUCGCCGGAAGACCAAGGGUUCCUGUCCAACGUUAAUCGGGGCAGGGUGAGUCGACCCCUAAGGCGAGGCCGAAAGGCGUAGUCGAUGGGAAACAGGUUAAUAUUCCUGUACUUGGUGUUACUGCGAAGGGGGGACGGAGAAGGCUAUGUUAGCCGGGCGACGGUUGUCCCGGUUUAAGCAUGUAGGCUGGUUAUCCAGGCAAAUCCGGAUAAUCAAGGCUGAGGUGUGAUGACGAGGCACUACGGUGCUGAAGUAACAAAUGCCCUGCUUCCAGGAAAAGCCUCUAAGCAUCAGGUAACAUCAAAUCGUACCCCAAACCGACACAGGUGGUCAGGUAGAGAAUACCAAGGCGCUUGAGAGAACUCGGGUGAAGGAACUAGGCAAAAUGGUGCCGUAACUUCGGGAGAAGGCACGCUGGUGUGUAGGUGAAGUCCCUGCGGAUGGAGCUGAGACCAGUCGAAGAUACCAGCUGGCUGCAACUGUUUAUUAAAAACACAGCACUGUGCAAACACGAAAGUGGACGUAUACGGUGUGACGCCUGCCCGGUGCCGGAAGGUUAAUUGAUGGGGUUAUCCGUAAGGAGAAGCUCUUGAUCGAAGCCCCGGUAAACGGCGGCCGUAACUAUAACGGUCCUAAGGUAGCGAAAUUCCUUGUCGGGUAAGUUCCGACCUGCACGAAUGGCGUAAUGAUGGCCAGGCUGUCUCCACCCGAGACUCAGUGAAAUUGAACUCGCUGUGAAGAUGCAGUGUACCCGCGGCAAGACGGAAAGACCCCGUGAACCUUUACUAUAGCUUGACACUGAACAUUGAGCCUUGAUGUGUAGGAUAGGUGGGAGGCUUUGAAGCGUGGACGCCAGUCUGCGUGGAGCCAACCUUGAAAUACCACCCUUUAAUGUUUGAUGUUCUAACGUUGGCCCCUUACCGGGGUUGCGGACAGUGUCUGGUGGGUAGUUUGACUGGGGCGGUCUCCUCCCAAAGCGUAACGGAGGAGCACGAAGGUUAGCUAAUCCUGGUCGGACAUCAGGAGGUUAGUGCAAUGGCAUAAGCUAGCUUGACUGCGAGCGUGACGGCGCGAGCAGGUGCGAAAGCAGGUCAUAGUGAUCCGGUGGUUCUGAAUGGAAGGGCCAUCGCUCAACGGAUAAAAGGUACUCCGGGGAUAACAGGCUGAUACCGCCCAAGAGUUCAUAUCGACGGCGGUGUUUGGCACCUCGAUGUCGGCUCAUCACAUCCUGGGGCUGAAGUAGGUCCCAAGGGUAUGGCUGUUCGCCAUUUAAAGUGGUACGCGAGCUGGGUUUAGAACGUCGUGAGACAGUUCGGUCCCUAUCUGCCGUGGGCGCUGGAGAAUUGAGGGGGGCUGCUCCUAGUACGAGAGGACCGGAGUGGACGCAUCACUGGUGUUCGGGUUGUCAUGCCAAUGGCACUGCCCGGUAGCUAAAUGCGGAAGAGAUAAGUGCUGAAAGCAUCUAAGCACGAAACUUGCCCCGAGAUGAGUUCUCCCUGAGACUUUAAGUCUCCUGAAGGAACGUUAAAGACGAUGACGUUGAUAGGCCGGGUGUGUAAGCGCAGCGAUGCGUUGAGCUAACCGGUACUAAUGAACCGUGAGGCUUAACCUUACAACGCCGAAG